UAGAGUUUGAUCCUGGCUCAGAUUGAACGCUGGCGGCAGGCUUAACACAUGCAAGUCGAGCGGUAGCACAGGGGAGCUUGCUCCCCGGGUGACGAGCGGCGGACGGGUGAGUAAUGUCUGGGAAACUGCCUGAUGGAGGGGGAUAACUACUGGAAACGGUAGCUAAUACCGCAUAACGUCGCAAGACCAAAGAGGGGGACCUUCGGGCCUCUUGCCAUCAGAUGUGCCCAGAUGGGAUUAGCUAGUAGGUGGGGUAAUGGCUCACCUAGGCGACGAUCCCUAGCUGGUCUGAGAGGAUGACCAGCCACACUGGAACUGAGACACGGUCCAGACUCCUACGGGAGGCAGCAGUGGGGAAUAUUGCACAAUGGGCGCAAGCCUGAUGCAGCCAUGCCGCGUGUGUGAAGAAGCCUUCGGGUUGAAAGCACUUUCCGAGAGAAGGGGACCUAAUUCAAGU
RNAcentral lists this ribosomal RNA (457 nucleotides) under Serratia marcescens. RNAcentral describes it as "bacterial SSU rRNA". It matches the Rfam family "Bacterial small subunit ribosomal RNA", at positions 1 to 466 of the family's 1533-position model. The record is from RNAcentral. Lineage: Bacteria; Pseudomonadati; Pseudomonadota; Gammaproteobacteria; Enterobacterales; Yersiniaceae.